GACUACGAUGGGUAGGGGUCCUGAGAGGGAGAUCCCCCACACUGGUACUGAGACACGGACCAGACUCCUACGGGAGGCAGCAGUGAGGAAUAUUGGACAAUGGGCGCAAGCCUGAUCCAGCCAUGCCGCGUGCAGGAUGACGGUCCUAUGGAUUGUAAACUGCUUUUAUACAGGAAGAAACACUGGUUCGUGAACCAGCUUGACGGUACUGUAAGAAUAAGGAUCGGCUAACUCCGUGCCAGCAGCCGCGGUAAUACGGAGGAUCCAAGCGUUAUCCGGAAUCAUUGGGUUUAAAGGGUCCGUAGGCGGUCAGAUAAGUCAGUGGUGAAAGCCCAUCGCUCAACGGUGGAACGGCCAUUGAUACUGUCUGACUUGAAUUAUUAGGAAGUAACUAGAAUAUGUAGUGUAGCGGUGAAAUGCUUAGAGAUUACAUGGAAUACCAAUUGCGAAGGCAGGUUACUACUAAUAUAUUGACGCUGAUGGACGAAAGCGUGGGUAGCGAACAGGAUUAGAUACCCUGGUAGUCCACGCCGUAAACGAUGGAUACUAGCUGUUGGGAGCAAUCUCAGUGGCUAAGCGAAAGUGAUAAGUAUCCCACCUGGGGAGUACGAACGCAAGUUUGAAACUCAAAGGAAUUGACGGGGGCCCGCACAAGCGGUGGAGCAUGUGGUUUAAUUCGAUGAUACGCGAGGAACCUUACCAAGGCUUAAAUGUAGAUUGACCGGUUUGGAAACAGACUUUUCGCAAGACAAUUUACAAGGUGCUGCAUGGUUGUCGUCAGCUCGUGCCGUGAGGUGUCAGGUUAAGUCCUAUAACGAGCGCAACCCCUGUUGUUAGUUGCCAGCGAGUCAUGUCGGGAACUCUAACAAGACUGCCAGUGUAAACUGUGAGGAAGGUGGGGAUGACGUCAAAUCAUCACGGCCCUUACGCCUUGGGCUAC
This 940-nucleotide ribosomal RNA is filed under the name Flavobacterium sp. PL002. RNAcentral's name for it is "bacterial SSU rRNA". It matches the Rfam family "Bacterial small subunit ribosomal RNA", at positions 272 to 1217 of the family's 1533-position model. The record is from RNAcentral. Lineage: Bacteria; Pseudomonadati; Bacteroidota; Flavobacteriia; Flavobacteriales; Flavobacteriaceae.